UCUAGAGAAAGAGGAUUUGAACCUCAUCUAAGAGCCCAAAACUCUUCGUAUAUCCUGUUAUACUUUGCCCUA
RNAcentral lists this transfer RNA (72 nucleotides) under Calotes liocephalus. RNAcentral describes it as "tRNA-Gln". The record is from RNAcentral. Lineage: Eukaryota; Metazoa; Chordata; Lepidosauria; Squamata; Agamidae.